CAGUAGCCGCGGUAAUACGGAGGGUGCAAGCGUUAAUCGGAAUUACUGGGCGUAAAGCGUGCGUAGGCGGUUCGUUAAGUCUGUUGUGAAAGCCCCGGGCUCAACCUGGGAAUGGCUAUGGAUACUGGCGAGCUAGAGUGUGUCAGAGGAUGGUGGAAUUCCCGGUGUAGCGGUGAAAUGCGUAGAGGUCGGGAGGAACAUCAGUGGCGAAGGCGGCCAUCUGGGACAACACUGACGCUGAGGCACGAAAGCGUGGGGAGCAAACAGGAUUAGAUACCCCCGUAGUCCAUGUCUCUUAUAC
RNAcentral lists this ribosomal RNA (301 nucleotides) under uncultured bacterium. RNAcentral describes it as "partial 16S ribosomal RNA". It matches the Rfam family "Bacterial small subunit ribosomal RNA", at positions 509 to 807 of the family's 1533-position model. The record is from RNAcentral.